AAAUUUUCUUCCUUUGUGGUGCUUAAAGAGACAAAUUAUGAUUGGAAAAACUUGUCAUAAAUGCAUAAAUGUCUCUUUUCAUUAAAUAAAUAACUUCCUGCAGGAACUACUUGGAACUAUUUCCUCUGGUUCCACUGGCCAGACAUGAAUUUCAUUUUGAGGUCAACUGUCCCAUGAAAAAAUGAAACGUCUCCAGUUUCUCUGACUCUGACCUCCUCGGUCAGUUGUUUCUGCCUCUCCAGCCUUCUCACCUGCCAAUCAGGUGUUCCUUAUGCUCCACCCCCUCAGGUUAUAAGCACGAGGCAUUUCAGCCACUACAGAACAGAUUUGCAGGUCACACAUCACCAGCCAUUGACAGAUGACUUCUUACAGGUUGCAUGGUGCAAACCGCAAGUCUUAUUGUUCCCUGUGUGUCUGUAAGCCUGUCGAAGCGACGUGUUUGUUUUUUCCCCCAGCUUUUUAAAUCUGUUUCCAUUUAAUCUGUACCAUCUGUUCUUAUGAUCAUUACAUGCUGGGAAUCUAUACGUGAAUAUUUAGCUGUUCAUAAUGUUGGCUAAACUAUUACCUAGAGACUGCCUGUAUAUUCGCUUUAUAUAGCCUAUACUCUUGUCUUUUUUUAAUACUGCUUGAUUCUUAAAUAAAAGGGGAAUGCUAUGAAAGCAAAAUAAAAUGAGUACACAGUAAGAAAACACGUCCCUUGUAUUGCAACUUGAAAAGAAAGGUCUGUACUCUGUCCUUGUCCUUACUUCUUUUUCUUUCUUUUUUUUGAGAAAAGCUGAAUAUCAACAGCUGAUCUGAGCCAGGUCACUGUGGACGUAUGUAGCUCUCUCCCUUUAUAGGCCGCACUUGAGCAUUUCUUCUGUACAUAGAAGCAUUUCAAGCUGGUGGAGAAUAAAAUGUGGCAGCAAACAUUAAUAGGAAGAUGAGAAAAUUUGAUCCAAGUUGAUUUUUAAAGGGGUUGGUGAUUUUUUUUUUGUUUUAUCCAACCAGUGUAGCUUGUAAAACAUGACAUUAAAACUGCCUCCUGUUUGUCA
This is a long non-coding RNA of Oreochromis aureus, 1034 nucleotides long. The record is from Ensembl. Lineage: Eukaryota; Metazoa; Chordata; Actinopteri; Cichliformes; Cichlidae.